UUAACUAUUAUAUAGUACUCAGACGACAUCAUGACAAGAGUUUUGGGUCCUCCGGCAGGCGCGGGCCAGCUGACGCCGGCGGUCCGAGGACGGGCCUGCCGAGGCAACAAAGUGUAUAGGCAGAGGGUGGGAGAUCUACCCCGAGGGGCACGUUCUCUUUAAUGAUCCUUCCGCAGGUUCACCUACGGAAA
This 191-nucleotide unclassified non-coding RNA is filed under the name uncultured fungus. RNAcentral describes it as "sequence contains ITS1". Lineage: Eukaryota; Fungi. The record is from RNAcentral.